GAGUAAUGUCUGGGAAACUGCCUGAUGGAGGGGGAUAACUACUGGAAACGGUAGCUAAUACCGCAUAACGUCGCAAGACCAAAGAGGGGGACCUUCGGGCCUCUUGCCAUCGGAUGUGCCCAGAUGGGAUUAGCUAGUAGGUGGGGUAACGGCUCACCUAGGCGACGAUCCCUAGCUGGUCUGAGAGGAUGACCAGCCACACUGGAACUGAGACACGGUCCAGACUCCUACGGGAGGCAGCAGUGGGGAAUAUUGCACAAUGGGCGCAAGCCUGAUGCAGCCAUGCCGCGUGUAUGAAGAAGGCCUUCGGGUUGUAAAGUACUUUCAGCGGGGAGGAAGGGAGUAAAGU
Molecule: ribosomal RNA, 349 nt
Filed under: Escherichia coli
Lineage: Bacteria; Pseudomonadati; Pseudomonadota; Gammaproteobacteria; Enterobacterales; Enterobacteriaceae
Description: bacterial SSU rRNA
Rfam family: Bacterial small subunit ribosomal RNA
Source: RNAcentral